CGUCCCCAGGUGGGCUCGAACCACCAACCUUUCGGUUAACAGCCGAACGCGCAAGCCGAUUGCGCCACGGAGAC
RNAcentral lists this transfer RNA (74 nucleotides) under Cordylochernes scorpioides. RNAcentral's name for it is "tRNA-Asn". The record is from RNAcentral. Lineage: Eukaryota; Metazoa; Arthropoda; Arachnida; Pseudoscorpiones; Chernetidae.